GGAUCAGUACGCUGGUCAUGCUUUCGGGUAUGUACUGGUGUCACUGAUUCCUCCCUUCUGACGAACUAUCAUGCCAUUUACUUGGUGUGGUGGGGAAUUAGGACUGUUAUUUUGAAAAAAUUAGAGUGUUUAAAGCAGGCUCACGCUUGAAUACAUUAGUAUGGAAUAAUGAAAUAGGAUGUUGAUCUUAUUUUGUUGGUUUCUAGGAUCACCGUA
Molecule: ribosomal RNA, 216 nt
Filed under: uncultured fungus
Lineage: Eukaryota; Fungi
Description: partial small subunit ribosomal RNA
Rfam family: Eukaryotic small subunit ribosomal RNA (bases 39-216)
Source: RNAcentral